CUGAAGCCUGGUGCUUGCACCGGGUGGAUGAGUGGCGAACGGGUGAGUAACACGUGAGUAACCUGCCCCUGACUUCGGGAUAAGCCCGGGAAACUGGGUCUAAUACCGGAUACGACUGCCGGACGCAUGUCUGGUGGUGGAAAGUUUUUUCGGUUGGGGAUGGGCUCGCGGCCUAUCAGUUUGUUGGUGAGGUAAUGGCUCACCAAGACGACGACGGGUAGCCGGCCUGAGAGGGCGACCGGCCACACUGGGACUGAGACACGGCCCAGACUCCUACGGGAGGCAGCAGUGGGGAAUAUUGCACAAUGGGGGAAACCCUGAUGCAGCGACGCAGCGUGCGGGAUGACGGCCUUCGGGUUGUAAACCGCUUUCAGCAGGGAAGAAGCGCAAGUGACGGUACCUGCAGAAGAAGUACCGGCUAACUACGUGCCAGCAGCCGCGGUAAUACGUAGGGUACGAGCGUUGUCCGGAAUUAUUGGGCGUAAAGAGCUCGUAGGUGGUUGGUCACGUCUGCUGUGGAAACGCAACGCUUAACGUUGCGCGUGCAGUGGGUACGGGCUGACUAGAGUGCAGUAGGGGAGUCUGGAAUUCCUGGUGUAGCGGUGAAAUGCGCAGAUAUCAGGAGGAACACCGGUGGCGAAGGCGGGACUCUGGGCUGUAACUGACACUGAGGAGCGAAAGCAUGGGGAGCGAACAGGAUUAGAUACCCUGGUAGUCCAUGCCGUAAACGUUGGGCACUAGGUGUGGGGGGCAUUCCACGUUCUCCGCGCCGUAGCUAACGCAUUAAGUGCCCCGCCUGGGGAGUACGGUCGCAAGGCUAAAACUCAAAGGAAUUGACGGGGGCCCGCACAAGCGGCGGAGCAUGCGGAUUAAUUCGAUGCAACGCGAAGAACCUUACCAAGGCUUGACAUACACCGGACCGUCCUGGAAACAGGUCCUCUUCUUUGAAGCUGGUGUACAGGUGGUUGCAUGGUUGUCGUCAGCUCGUGUCGUGAGAUGGUUGGGGUUAAGUCCCGCAACGAGCGCAACCCUCGUUCUAUGUUG
RNAcentral lists this ribosomal RNA (1044 nucleotides) under uncultured bacterium. RNAcentral describes it as "bacterial SSU rRNA". It matches the Rfam family "Bacterial small subunit ribosomal RNA", at positions 67 to 1117 of the family's 1533-position model. The record is from RNAcentral.